Molecule: unclassified non-coding RNA, 26 nt
Filed under: Dictyostelium discoideum
Lineage: Eukaryota; Evosea; Eumycetozoa; Dictyosteliales; Dictyosteliaceae
Source: RNAcentral
GGGCAAUGUAAACUCAGACAAACCUU